Bubalus bubalis (water buffalo) is the source of this 3933-nucleotide long non-coding RNA. RefSeq lists it as uncharacterized. The record is from RefSeq and is a predicted model, not a curated record. The transcript is spliced from 2 exons. NCBI's taxonomy places the organism in Eukaryota, Metazoa, Chordata, Mammalia, Artiodactyla, Bovidae.
AUCAUCAACUUGAUGGACAUGAGUUUGAGUAAGCUCCAGGAGUUGGUGAUAGGUAGGCCUGGCGUGCUGCAGUUCAUGGGGUCGCAAAGAGUUGGACAUGACUGAGCGACUGAACUGAAGGGAAGACUAGGAUCUGACGUUUAAGGGGAAGGAUCUGUGUCUUUGCCUGCGGAGACAGCCCUGAAGAACUCCUGUAAAGUCAAGCUGGCGAUUUCCAAGAAGCAGUCUGGGACCUGCAUUCCCAAAGAGACCCACGAGAAAGAAAAAACGUGAGGCGGUGAAGCCUGGCGCCAUCCAGACCUCACUGCCUGACGCUGCCAUUUCCUUGGGUUGCAGGCUGACCGGAGCACCCCUACUCUACUGGCCCCUGACUUUUGAAGCCCCAGGAAUCUCUUGCUCCCUCAUCAAAUACGGACCUUAAAAUGAUGAUCCUGAUGAGACAGCCUUGGGAAAAAACGGAUUAGGGACACUUCCUCUGUAGGAGUAGUUGAUUCCAUUAAUGGGUGACAUUUUCAGCAAGUGGGAAAUUCUGACUGGUUGAAAUGAAAUCUGUGGUUCAAAAGAGGUUUUUGGUAUUCUUUUCCUUAGUGCCUCACGUGGAAGGAACCACCCCAAGCUUAUGACUGUCGUACCUCAUUCCACCUUUUUUGGGGACUAAAUUCAAAGGACUUGGAAUCACUCCUGCUUCCAAAGCCAACCAUUUGGCUUGGGGGUGGAGAGGGCUCAAGACUAUGUUCCAGGACCUCACCCAGACUGGCAGCAUUAAUGAUGGGACAUCCCGCAGGGCCUCCAGAUCCAGCCUGGCUGGGGGCUUGCCCCCACUGCCUGCCAGAUGACCACCUCCACGUGGAAAGAUGCAGUGCUGCCCCCCACCCACAUGCCUGGACCCCCACGAGCCUCUCAAAGGAGGCAUGGUCCGUUUUCCCCACAGGUAGGCUUAGGUUUCUAAGCAUAUUCCGAUGGGGCAUCUGAACAGCGGAUGCCAGCAGUUCUCUGCUUUCUUGGAGGGGUCCAUACACUGCUCCUCGUGACCGCACAGUCAAGUGAGAAAUGUGAGAAGAGCUCGUGACCAGACACACCGGGCACCUGCAGAACAAGAUGCCAGCCGAACAGAGCUGUUGGCUGUUGCAAGCUCUCACCGAUGACACUUGGGCCAGUUGCUCACCCUUCACCGAUGCUUUACCUCUAAGGUGCCACCAGUGUGCCUUCACAGGGAUCCCCAAAGGACUGAGCAGCUUAAGUAUUGUGUAUUACUUCCAGAAAGGAUUUGAGAUGACUUGCCAUGGAAGGCCCACAGAUAAAACUGUUCAAGGGAGAAUAAAGGUAAGAACCAAAUGAUAAACAGCAACUGGUGUAAAGAAACCUUGGCCAAGAACUAGUGCUGCAGCUAGAGCCCGGCAUUUAUCCUGGGCCUCCUGGUGCAAAGGCGAGAAGCCUUUCAGGGUGUACAACCCGGUCAUUAGAGUAUUGUCUAAAAUGGCCUAAUACCUGACCUCUGCCCGUGUUUCUGAAUAAAGACUGGCUGGAGAUUCAGUUUGGUAUCUACCUGUUGCCUACUAGAAGAUGCGGAGGCCGUCAUCUUUGUGGAUGGUACAGAGAUGGGUCCCAGGCUGCCCUGCUCUCAGUGACGUAAGGACAGACAUGGAAGGGGAUCUUUUCUAAAACUCCAAUCACAAAGGGAAGGCGCUCAUCAGACUUCCUGGGCCCCGAGUGCAUGGUCUUACCUCAAAGUCGUUUCCCUUGUUAUAGUGCAUAUUGAGAGCUCGAAAAAGUUCUGAGUCGCGGAGAACCACCAGCAUUUUGGGAUUUGUGACACCAUCUGAAAUCGCUUGCCGAGCAAAUUUCUCCAUCUGUAUGUAAUAAAACUCACGGAAGUUGCUGAACCACUUGAUCAUCUGGGAGGUGAUGCAGCGGUUGAACUGUGCAAACAACAGGAUCCAUGAAGUCAGACGUUUGCCACGAGGUGCUCAGAGUCAGAACUGCCAGCUUCCAAUUCAACACAGGGCUUAGCAAGAGUGGCUUCAAUUCACACUAAACAGGGCUUUCUUUAAAAAAGAAGUCACAGCUAUUUUCUAAGCCUAUACAGUUAUACAUAGAAAAAUCUGAAUUAGCUGUAAUACCCAGUAGAAAACAAAUGUAUUUUAUAGCCUAGACUUAUAAAAGUUUUUCACUCCUUAAGUGUGACUUUGGGAGGGCCCAAGGUCAAGAUCAGUGUGGUCCCAGUGUCUGCAGCACCCACGUAGAUUACAUCACAGCCCCAGUGCCCUCUGCCAGGUAGAGCCAAGGGAAGGGGUAAUGGUAUAGAUCAGAGGACUAGGUAUUGGCAACUCAGAGUUGCAGAAUGAAUCAAAAAUGAGAACUUGGAUCAGGGAAGAAGCAAGCGACUGGGUAUGAGGGAAAUAGCUCAAAAAAAAAAAAAAAACCAUAGGAUGAUUGAGAUACAAAGGAUACAAAGUAUUAACAGCCCCUAACCCAACACCCAGGGUAAAGGAGACCCUCUGAAACCAUGGAAACAUCCAAGGCCUGGUUCCAACCAUCAGAGCUUGAUUUUUCUCAUUGUCACAUUGAUUUGUAUGGUCCUUCACUCAGUUUUGAAACAAAAAAGUUCAAAGGUAAAUUUAACAGCCACAGUGUGCAACUCUUGAUAUAUUCUUUCUUUUUUAUAGUGUCCCCAGCAAAGACAGAACACUAGGCUAAAGGUGCUGUUUACUCUUGGUUCUGUAAGCCCGCCUCCUUCCCCAAGUGUUUCUGGGUCUUAGCUAUAGCUCAGAAGCUUACGUUCAGAGACCCGACCUUCCUUCCCCCAAAGUUACCCCUGUUUGUUCAGUCUCUCAGCCCAGGACAAAAAUCCCACGACAAGAAGAGGAGCUGAAGUGCACAGAUGAUGACCUAGGAUUUGACUCCACGUGGGAAACACCUCUGGCCCUGGGGAGUUUUGCAGAGACUGAAACUCAGUUGAAGGACUUUACCUGAACAUCAGGGAAAUAAGCCUUCAGGAGGCUGGAGCUGGGGUAGCGUGUGAAGAAAAACAUUAGUUUGGCCUUCUUCAAGUGACCAGGAUUGAGGCCCUCCUGGAUUUGGCCCAGGGUCAAGGAAAACUAAGACCAGUUUAUCAAAUGAUUUUGUCAAAUUAUCCACAUGGUAAAUUGCCCUGUUCCUUAUGGUUUCUAUUUAAUUUUUUUCCGGUUGAAUGAUGUAUUUGCUUCAUUUUUCUGUCUCUAGCAAGUAUGAUCAGAUAAACUUCUUUCUUUCCAGAUGCUGAAUACCAUCUAUGUACAGUAAAGUUGCAGAGUUUAAAAAACAUUUUGAUGUGUUAAAGAUCUAUUGCAUAUGUGAUAGCAAAUACAAUUUGUUGUACUCAGUGUGAGUGUGUGCGCUUUCACAAUAGGGUGGGAAGAGAUGGCAGCUGUCCCCCAGAUAAACUAUGUUAAAACCCCAAGUAGAGACUUGCUUCUCUCUGUCUCAGUUUCCUUGUCUGUAAAAUGAGAGGAGUCAACUAGAUGGUCCCCUUUCUGGCCCUCAUCGUUGUGUUUGUGGUGUUGAUGCCAGUGAGCACCUAACCUGACUGAGUACCAGAUCAUGGUACUCAGUGAUCUGGCUUUGGCUCAAGAAGCUUGAAUUGCCAGGCUGCACUUCUUUCUGUUUGCCUGGCAGAAGUUCCCCCUCACCCUCCCCACCUCAACUCAGAUGCCCCCUCUGCUGUGAAACGCUUCCUUGCCGAGGUAGGCCUUCCUUACCCUGGGCUACCAGCGUUCUUUGUGUAAGCUGUUUUUUUAAGAAUGAUGUGAUUGGGAUCUUUAGUGCAUGUUUGUCUCCCCAUUUAGACUGUGAGCUCCUUGAGAGCAAGGGCCUUACCCUUUCAUCUUUGUAUUCCACGUGCCUAGCCUGGUGCUAGGAGCAGAGUAGGUGCUCAAUAAAUGUUUGGUGAAUGAA